UAAGAAUCCCCCUACAGGGAAGAAGUAUGUGCGGUGUCCCUGCAACUGCCUGCUCAUCUGUAAAGACACAUCCAGAAGGAUAGGAUGUCCUCGACCAAACUGCAGACGCAUUAUCAACCUGAGCCCAGUGAUGGUGAUCCCCGAGGAGCAACCCGCCCAGCCAGCGCUGCCCAUCCAACCCGAGGGAAUGAGAGUGGUCUGUGGCCACUGUGGCAACACCUUCCUAGGCAGUGAGGACGCCAGGACAUCACAGCCUAUGUCUGGUCUCCCCAGUGAUGGCUCUCCACCAGCACAACAACAGUGGAUGGAGCUUCGAUUUAACACACUAGCCAAGUGUCCCCACUGCAAAAAAAU
Molecule: long non-coding RNA, 354 nt
Organism: Oreochromis niloticus (Nile tilapia)
Lineage: Eukaryota; Metazoa; Chordata; Actinopteri; Cichliformes; Cichlidae
Exons: 4
Source: RefSeq, a predicted model, not a curated record